GAAUCCCCCCUGCAUGUGUAAGUAUAAAUAAAUAACUUUGAAACUGCGAAUGGCUCAUUAUAUCAGUUAUAGUUUAUUUGAUGAAGAAUACUAAUUGGAUAACCGUAGUAAUUCUAGAGCUAAUACAUGUAUAAAGUCUUGUAGACUGCAUUUAUUAGAAUGAAACCCAUAGGUUUCGGCCUAUUCGUGAGUAUUAUUAACUAUUCAUAUCCUAUGCUUAUGUAACGAGGUGUCUUUCAAGUUUCUGCCCUUCAGCUU
Molecule: ribosomal RNA, 258 nt
Filed under: Blastocystis sp.
Lineage: Eukaryota; Bigyra; Opalinata; Blastocystidae
Description: partial small subunit ribosomal RNA
Rfam family: Eukaryotic small subunit ribosomal RNA
Source: RNAcentral